UAGGUUACUAGCAAUUGUAUUAGUUUACAAGAUAAAUAUAAAUUCACAAAUACACAAACAGAACAGCUAGUACAGACAAUGCAACAACAGCAGCAAUAGGCUUGGGAGAGUCAGUGUUCAAAAUGUAAAAUAACUGAAAGCAUGUAUCAACUGCUUGUAAAAUAUGGUCUUGCUUCUGUGCCAUUUCUCCCACAAUAAUGAAGACUUGAUUUUAUUCCAAAACUGCAGGACAAGAGGGAAUUGCCUUUGUUGCUCCUCCUCCUCCAAAUACAAAAUGACAUUUGUUCAACCCUUAAAUACAAAUUUAAAAUGGUAAAUAUGUACACAUCCAUCAGAUGAAAUAAUACCAAAAAAGAAGAAAAAAAGUGUCAUAAAUGAUGCACUUUCCCACUUUGAAUAGCAAUGAAGGAGGAUAUCUGGCCGGGUUUUAAUGCAACUUUGUUGCAAUCUCCAAGAUCAUCUUACAUAGAAAAAAACAGUGGAUUAAUCUCCAAACAAGAAUGGAAAAAAACUGCACUUUUUUAAGCCUUGGUAGCAGUCUUUCAUUUGACUUAUUACUUUUGUAAUUAUGGAUUAAUGUCUGUUAUAUAUCAAUUUGAUUAGCCAUAUUACAAGAGUGGUGUGUGUAUCAUUGUAUACAGGUGUGGGGAUUUUUUUAACUCAUUUUUAACUUACAUUGUUAUGCUAGUCAGUGGUAAUGUGAGUGUAUCAAUGUGUGAGUUAUGUAAAAGCUAUACACUUGUAAUUGUGCUGUUAGAAUCUGUAAAAGCAGGCUGUAGUUAUCUGUGGACUCAUCCCCUGAUCUAGACCAAUCUAGAGUCUAAUGCCAAAUUACAUUUCAAAGAUGGUACAGAAGCACUUCUGAAAGUAGCAUAUAUGUGUCUUUACAUACUGUUUAAUGCUGCUCAGAAGGACAUAAAUGCAUUUACAGAGCAAUUACAAGUGCAUACUCUGCAGAUUUUGAAAUGGGUCAGAGCUAGAAGUUAGUCUACCUUUUAUACUGCAUUGCGCAUAUACAGAGAAUUUUUAGACUUAACUUGGCUAUGUAAAGACACCUUCACAGUACUCUUAUUUGUGUAAUAUUGCUCGAAUGAUAGUUCACCCAAAUCAUUUGUCAUCAUUUACUCAUCCUCAGGGGUGAAUUAACCAUUUGUGUAGGUGUGCCUGUCAGUACAUAAUGUAAAAUAUUACAAUUUGGCAUGAAAAUACAGAGCAGGAUUUUCUCACCAGAGGAUAUAACCAGAAGAUCCAAGGCUCUCUUCUCGAUCUUGUAAUAUGUGAAUAUUUGUUGCCCCUGGUGGUGCAGAACAAGUACUGCUCACUGCAAAGCCAAAUGGCCUUCAGCUCCACCUCUGUGUGAACUAAUGGGUGAAGUUAGGGUUAGGAUAGGGUAAGAUGUAGGGUUAGGGUGUGGUUAGGUGUCUUUCUCCACCCAUUACCUCCAGCGAGGGGGAGCUAGAGCUCCAGCUCCUCCCAUCUCCCAGGGAAUAAAAACAAGAGCGAAAACUCCGCCUAGCUAACACUGAUACAGCGAGUGAACCGAUGAAACAGCCCGUACGUAGUGUGUGUUCUUGUGCCGUGUUGGUUGGUAAAAGAAGCAAGAACGGGUCUUUUUUAUUUCAACAUUCAAGCGCUGCGUGACGUAUUUUGAAGUUGAUCUGGGAGAUUUUCUAGAACCGUAUGAAAGAUGAAAUUCUCUUCGGCUGUCUUCGUCGUAUUAAUUUCAGUGUGUGUUGCUGAGUGGAAUUCGGUGGCAACUGAUGGAGAAAACGUUACCAUACCUUUGGGAAUGGCUGAACUGGACAGAGCCGAUCAAGUGACGAUAACUCAUACAAGAGAAAAUAAGAAAAUAAAGAUUGCACAGUAUUGUUGCUGUGCCCAACGUGGGGACUGUAAAGCCGUGAAAACACUGGGAGUCUUACUGAAAGUUAGAGAACGAAUAUUAAUUCUUCUAGAUGUCAGAUGUAAAGACUCCGGUCUCUAUGAAAUAAAAGUAAUCAGAAGAAAUAACACGUCUGAGAUACGAAAGGCUACACUUGUUGUCAACAAAUGUCUAUUUUCCUCAGAGCCACCACAAACCUCCAUUUCAAAACCUCCACAGUCAUCCAUCUCAGAACUAUCCAACCCAUCUGAACGCCGAAGGCUUUUUGUAGCAAUUUCUCCACUUCUGUUCAUCGUGGUGGUCCUUUAUGUGUUCUGUAAAUAUGUGAGGGCAAGUAUUACUUAAAUUUGUUCUUAUAUUCAUGGAAUUUAGUAGUCUAAUGUUCAGGGCUGUAUUCACUAAAAUGCUUAAGGCUAAAAUGUAAAAUUUAGGGGCAUUUCGCUCCUAAUCAUAGGACUCAAUUAUGAGUAAUUCAAGCAUUUAAACAUUAAAAGUAGCUCCUAAACACAGAACAGUUUACAAGUCUUCCUGAGGAUCCUGUAUCCCAAAUGACUGAUUCAAAAAUGAUCUGAGACAUGGCUGCUCUUGUCAAUCCAUGUCAAAUAUAUCAGAUCAUUACAAUGACAUACACACCUUAUAAGAUAUCACCUAAAUCUCUAAGGUGUUUUAACUUAGAGA
This is a long non-coding RNA of Labeo rohita (rohu), 2560 nucleotides long. RefSeq lists it as uncharacterized. The transcript has 3 exons. The record is from RefSeq and is a predicted model, not a curated record. Lineage: Eukaryota; Metazoa; Chordata; Actinopteri; Cypriniformes; Cyprinidae.